AUGGUGGUGGAGAACGCUGAGUUUCUGAGCACUUUCCCAGGGAAUGAGCAAGAUAGCUACCAUCACUCAGAUGAUUCUGAUGGACUAGGCGUACUGUGCAUGUCACGGCAGCAGCUUCUUAUCCUCACUAUGAGUGUGUGCAUCUCGUUCACAGAAGAGUCCCAGAAGUGUUUACUGAGUGAACCAAUGAUCUCCAAGUGUACAUUUCCUAUUCCUUCAGUUCAGUUCCUGGCUUUGAUUUGGGGUGCACCCCUCCAGGUCACAGACAACCAGACCCCAAUGGUGGUUCAAGGGAGAGCAGGUGAUGUGAUCCUACCCCAUGGAGUAGACUUCAGGGCUUCUGUGAGAGCUUCUGGUAAAGAGAAUACAUGGCUGGAGCAUCUUGCUGCCAGGUAAAGUCUGAGACUGGAGCCAGUUUGGCAAAGAGAAAUAUACAUGUAUACACACCCCACUCACUCAUACAUGC
This 466-nucleotide long non-coding RNA is filed under the name Capra hircus (goat). Its description in RNAcentral is "lncRNA (ENSCHIG00000004214.1)". Lineage: Eukaryota; Metazoa; Chordata; Mammalia; Artiodactyla; Bovidae. The record is from RNAcentral.